Non-coding RNA from Oryctolagus cuniculus (rabbit), 3882 nucleotides. NCBI's taxonomy places the organism in Eukaryota, Metazoa, Chordata, Mammalia, Lagomorpha, Leporidae. The record is from RefSeq and is a predicted model, not a curated record.
CACGCUUUAUUGCUCGGGGCUCGGGAGCCGCGCGGGGUCGCCCCCACUCCCACAGGCGCCUCGGGAACAACCGCCCUGCGGGCAAGCGGCCCUGGCGUCGGAGCCCCGGGUCCAAAGCCCGGCGCCUGCACUCAGCAGCUGGAAAGAACACACCCGGAGGCCCCAGGAAGUAACCAUGGCGGCAAACAGUGCCCCAGGGUCCGUGGUGGCUCACAGCAGGAGGUGUGCAAGGGCCACCAAGGGCCAUGGAAAAAGCAUCCCAGCCUGGAGGUUAGGAGACCGGGGACUGAGGCCCAGCUUUAACCUGAAUUCGCCGUGUCACCUUAGACCAGUCUGGUUCUGGAACUCCUAGAGCUAAAAACGUGUGGUGAGGAAGGGCAAACGGAAUGACAAUGCACCCAGGGAACGCAGCAGUCUCCAGAGCACUGAGAGCCACUGUGAUCUACUGCUUUGGGAAAGUGGUGGGGCAGCUUCAUUUUCUGGGCCAUGACCACCACCCUGCUGCCUCUAAAGGAAGUUGUACUUUCCUCUGUAAUUCCUACCUACUGAAGUACGACUCAGAGCGUGCAGAAGCUAUCCAGGCUGAUAUGAAAAGAGUCCCAAUGCGAAGGCAUCUGCUUAGCAGAUAAAUGUUUCAAUAUGCUGCACUGGAGCGCAACAACACUACAGAGCCACUGCAACGGAAGGAGAGGAGAGGAGAGGAGGGUGAGAGGCCUGGGAGGCGCUGAUUCUUCCCGCCACAGCGGCCAGGGCCACAGCAGAGCUGACAAGCACUGUUUCCGAGGUCCCGUGACUGGAGCACACGGCGAUUAGGAGGGUGCUUCUUAUGGAUUCGGUUCAGGAAGUCCACUUUGACAACAUGCUGUGAAAUGGUGUCCUGGAAACGAUCGAACACCUGGCACCGAUUGCUCAGUGUCAUAUUCUUCUGGUUCAGCUGGGGACAAAGCAAACACACCUGUGAUCACAGAGGAAAGCCUACAAAUGUGCUUGUGCUGCCACAGACAUUUCCAGCUGAACUCAAGCUUGCUAGUAAUUCUGAGAGGCUGGCCUGGAGGUUCAAAAGAGAGCACAUUAAUGGAUCUGGAGUUAUUUCCACCCCAACUGUUACCAAUCAAACUGCAGCAAUUAAAAAUCUUUCUUAAACUAGGAGCCUCCGAGUAUGAGAAGUGUGCAGACUCAGAAAUUUUUUAUUAUGGCUGUUGAGUACUGUGUGGACAUUCUGCCUACAAGCAAGAGCGGCAAACGCCGGGCAGCGGGGCCUGCACCAGAGCAGCGCGGGCGGCCAAGGGCUCCGCGCACCCACCCGGAGGAGAGCCCGGCCGGGCAGGAGCCCCGAGAGCGGCGGGCGCGCGGGCAGGCAAGCGGCUCUGGGCCCGGAGCUCCUCCCCUUCCUCCCCCGCCACCGCUGGCCGUGCCCGGCCGGCUCGGUCCCAGCUCCCCUGCGACUUCCAAUCCCAGAUGGGGCUCUCCUCAUUCCUCCCAACCCCCACCUCGGGGUCCGGGCUCGACGCUGCUCCUCCCCGCCGCUCCCCCCCCCCCCCGCCCCGAAACGGCCAGAUCCCGGCAGACACCUGGGGGCGGGGAGGCGCUCGCCCCAGCGGCUGCAGAGAGUCAGCUAGCGGCUGCAGGCGCCCGUUAUUUCGGCAGGCAGGGGCAGGCCAGGUGAAGGAAUGUGCGGAGAGCGGUCCGCCGAGGGGCUCGAGAGGAGGCCAGCCCUUACCAGCACUGGAGGUGGAAGGCGGCCGGGCAGUGGUCGCAACACAGGAGAUCUCCACCUUCCUUGCAGCUAUCGCAGCUGUCGUGGUUGGUGGCCCUGCCGCUUCUCCGCGGCUCCUUCUCAGGCUUCCGACUCCGCUUUUCCGCCUCGUCCGUCUUGGGGGGAGCCAGCAGAGCUUGGAUUUGCUGCACACACAUACAAACGGCGUGUGUGCACACUCGGAGCUCCCGGGCGGCCCGUCGACCCCCCGGCGCGGCUACUCCGUCACCCACCCCUCUCCCCCCUUUUGUCCUUCUUCCUCCCAUCCAGGCUGCUCCCAGAACCGCUCAGCCCCCGGAACCAGGGGGAGCCCACCCCAACCGCGUUUCUGCAGCACAACAACGAGCGCAGCUUCUUCCAAAUGGGGAGGAUCAGGGUAGGGGGAUGGGGAGAGGGUGCGCGGUUCCCUUCUCGCCACUUCCUUGUAUGGACAGUGGGGGACUCCAAAGCCUGGCUCGGGAGAGGCCCGAAGCCCGGUACCCGGACGUGCGGGAGGAAGCACAAAGGGGCCGACAAGAAGGGGGUGGGGAGGCCCGCCGGUGCAACGCGAUGGAGUGGGCUGGCGCCUCUGGAAAGCGAAUCGAGGGCGGCGGAUACACGUGUCUUGUUUAAUCUUCACAACACGGCUGAUGGAAAAUAUCUGUCAUCAGUCAAUAAGCAGCGGCUAUGCCAAGGCUUUAGAGAGGCGCCGGCCUGCUGUCUGGAUCCUUCCCCGCUGGGGAUGCCCAGCCUCGGGGGCCCCUGCUCUGACUGGCAGCAGCGUCGUGGGACAGUCUGUUGACCACCACGUGCGUCACCAGGCCAGUCUGAGGGACAAGGCUGAUCACCUUCAUUUUACAAGGGAGGAAGCUUGGCUCAGCGACCGACAGCAGGCGCCAGGUGCUGACAGGUGAGAUGAGCCUGGGAAGGAGAGGGGAUUAUUGUCCGAGACGAACACGCAGUCCUGGGAAGUGUGGCUUCUGUGCGCAGACUUCAAACAAUGACCUCCUAGACAAGGUCUUAGGUCCCAUCCUUUCCUCCCCAGGCCCCUGACUGCAGCAGGUAGCCUCGAGGAGAAUCUGGAGAACCAAAGGGAGAUGAAAAGUACUUUGAAAAAGUACGAGAAUGGGCUCAACCAAGCCAUGGCUGUUGCUAUAGAUUAUUAGAAAGUUAUUCCUGGCUGGCAGCCUGGUUUAUUUUAGACCCCACCUCAUUUCCUCCAGGUUAUAGGCCCCAAUUCCUCGCCUGGUGAGACAGAAAGAGCCUGGCACCAUUGGAGUGAACCCUGAGCAGAUUCGGAAACUGGAACGGCAGCUCAAGGAAUUGUACAGAUUCUCAAAAUACCAGGGCUCGCCGUCCUUUGGAGGUCUUCUCCACCAGCCCCCUCAUUUUAUUUUACUGCCAUAUUAAAUUUUUAAAAAAUUUUAUUCAUUUUUGGAAUAUGUAAUACGUGCCCAAGGUGCAAAAUUCCAGGGCAUCAAAGAGUAUACUGUGAUAGUCUCUCCCAUUCCUCAGAGCAGCCAGCGCCAUCCAUUGCUUGUCUUUCACUGUAUUUAAAAAUAGAAUUGUUUCCUUUUUCUGUUCAUGUAGAAAAUACAAUAAUUCCUGCAGGAGAAAAUAAAAAAAUCAUAAGCAAUCCAGCUUCUAGAGCUGAAUACUCACAUUUUGGUGUAUAAUCAGCCAGCCUUUUCUCUUUGCAUAGACACAUGCAUCUAUAUUUACAAACUCGCAUAACCUGUUUUUGCUACUUGUUUACAUUAAAUAUGAUCUUUGAAAACAAGGAUUGGAGAGGAUCCAUGCUGAACUGAUGGCAGUGGGCACCUUAGGGGCAGUAAUGGGAGUGGGUUAGGAAGGGGAUUUGACUUUCUCUUUGCUGUUUGAAAUUGCUUUUGUAGGCCAGUGCCGCGGCUCACUAGGCUAAUCCUCCGCCUGCGGCACCAGCACCCCAGGUUCUAGUCCCGGUUGGGGCGCCGGAUUCUGUCCCGGUUGCUCCUCUUCCAGUCCAGCUCUCUGCUGUGUCUGCCCAGCUCUCUGCUGUGGCCCCAGGAAGGCAGUGGAGGAUGGGCCAAGCACCCACAUGGGAGACCAGGAGGAAGCACCUGGCUCCUGGCUUUGGAUUGCCGUAGCGGCCAUUUGGGGGGUGAACC